This 166-nucleotide ribosomal RNA is filed under the name uncultured bacterium. RNAcentral's name for it is "partial 16S ribosomal RNA". It matches the Rfam family "Bacterial small subunit ribosomal RNA", at positions 316 to 504 of the family's 1533-position model. The record is from RNAcentral.
UACGGGAGGCAGCAGUGGGGAACCUAGGGGAGGCAGCAGAGGGGAAUAUUGACAAUGGGCGCAAGCAUGAUCCAGCCAUGCCGCGUGAGUGAUGAAGGCCCUAGGGUGUAAAGCUCUUCACCGGGAAGAUAAGACGGUAACCGGAGAAGAAGCACCGGCUACUUUG